RNAcentral lists this ribosomal RNA (1345 nucleotides) under uncultured bacterium. RNAcentral describes it as "partial 16S ribosomal RNA". It matches the Rfam family "Bacterial small subunit ribosomal RNA", at positions 28 to 1381 of the family's 1533-position model. The record is from RNAcentral.
GACGAACGCUGGCGGCGUGCUUAACACAUGCAAGUCGAACGGAAAGGCCCUGCUUUUGUGGGGUGCUCGAGUGGCGAACGGGUGAGUAACACGUGAGUAACCUGCCCUUGACUUUGGGAUAACUUCAGGAAACUGGGGCUAAUACCGGAUAGGAGCUCCUGCCGCAUGGUGGGGGUUGGAAAGUUUCGGCGGUUGGGGAUGGACUCGCGGCUUAUCAGCUUGUUGGUGGGGUAGUGGCUUACCAAGGCUUUGACGGGUAGCCAGCCUGAGAGGGUGACCGGCCACAUUGGGACUGAGAUACGGCCAGACUCCUACGGGAGGCAGCAGUGGGGAAUAUUGCACAAUGGGCGGAAGCCUGAUGCAGCAACGCCGCGUGCGGGAUGACGGCCUUCGGGUUGUAAACCGCUUUCGCCUGUGACGAAGCGUGAGUGACGGUAAUGGGUAAAGAAGCACCGGCUAACUACGUGCCAGCAGCCGCGGUGAUACGUAGGGUGCGAGCGUUGUCCGGAUUUAUUGGGCGUAAAGGGCUCGUAGGUGGUUGAUCGCGUCGGAAGUGUAAUCUUGGGGCUUAACCCUGAGCGUGCUUUCGAUACGGGUUGACUUGAGGAAGGUAGGGGAGAAUGGAAUUCCUGGUGGAGCGGUGGAAUGCGCAGAUAUCAGGAGGAACACCAGUGGCGAAGGCGGUUCUCUGGGCCUUUCCUGACGCUGAGGAGCGAAAGCGUGGGGAGCGAACAGGCUUAGAUACCCUGGUAGUCCGCGCUGUAAACGGUGGGUACUAGGUGUGGGGUCCAUUCCACGGGUUCCGCGCCGUAGCUAACGCUUUAAGUACCCCGCCUGGGGAGUACGGCCGCAAGGCUAAAACUCAAAGGAAUUGACGGGGCCCCGCACAAGCGGCGGAGCAUGCGGAUUAAUUCGAUGCAACGCGUAGAACCUUACCUGGGUUUGACAUGGAUCGGGAGUGCUCAGAGAUGGGUGUGCCUCUUUUGGGGUCGGUUCACAGGUGGUGCAUGGCUGUCGUCAGCUCGUGUCGUGAGAUGUUGGGUUAAGUCCCGCAACGAGCGCAACCCUUGUUCACUGUUGCCAGCACGUUAUGGUGGGGACUCAGUGGAGACCGCCGGGGUCAACUCGGAGGAAGGUGGGGAUGACGUCAAGUCAUCAUGCCCCUUAUGUCCAGGGCUUCACGCAUGCUACAAUGGCUGGUACAGAGAGUGGCGAGCCUGUGAGGGUGAGCGAAUCUCGGAAAGCCGGUCUCAGUUCGGAUUGGGGUCUGCAACUCGACCUCAUGAAGUCGGAGUCGCUAGUAAUCGCAGAUCAGCAACGCUGCGGUGAAUACGUUCCCGGGGCU